CCUACGGGAGGCAGCAGUGGGGAAUAUUGCACAAUGGGGGAAACUCUGAUGCAGCAACGCCGCGUGAGUGAAGAAGGUUCUCGGAUUGUAAAGCUCUGUUUGCAGGGAAGAGGAAGGACGGUACCUUCAGAGGAAGCCACGGCUAACGGCGUGCCAGCAGCCGCGGUAAUACGCAGGUGGCAAGCGUUGUUCGGAAUAACUGGGCGUAAAGGAUGCGUAGGGGGUUAAACAAGUUAGAUGUUAAAUAUUUAGGCUUAACCUGUAGAAAGCAUAUAAUACUGUUUAACUAGAGUGCAGGAGCGGUAAGCGGAAUUCCUGGUGUAGCGGUGAAAUGCGUAGAGAUUAGGAAGAACACCAGUGGCGAAGGCGACUUACUGGACUGUAUCUGACGCUGAGGCAUGAGAGCAUGGGGAGCAAACAGGAUUAGAUACCCCGGUAGUC
Molecule: ribosomal RNA, 441 nt
Filed under: uncultured bacterium
Lineage: Bacteria
Description: partial 16S ribosomal RNA
Rfam family: Bacterial small subunit ribosomal RNA
Source: RNAcentral